Long non-coding RNA from Heteronotia binoei (common prickly gecko), 391 nucleotides. RefSeq lists it as uncharacterized. Lineage: Eukaryota; Metazoa; Chordata; Lepidosauria; Squamata; Gekkonidae. The transcript has 3 exons. The record is from RefSeq and is a predicted model, not a curated record.
GAGUCAGGAAAGGAGGCAGAUAAAAGGAACACCUUGCUUGCCACACUUCUGUGAAGUUGACGUACCUAGCAAGCAGAACUGGACCCCUUUUUUGCUGCCUUGUACCUUAUUGCUGGUAACCUGUGCCUGCUCCUACAACCUUGGACCCAGAUCCUGCACCUGUUCCCCAGUCCUUGAAUGGGACCCUUGAACCUUCCUUGUCCUGACCUUGGACUGGACCUGUGAUUGCUGACUCCAGACUGAAUGAAUUUGCAAGAUUGCUUGGAAUCUGAACAUUUUUCCCCACCUCAUGGAUUGCCACCCAAACCUACCCAAGUGCACAGGGUCAACAGCUGUUGGAUCCAAUUAAGGGGAAAACAACAUUUGAAACAAUAAAUAUGUCAAAAUAGGG